Molecule: ribosomal RNA, 253 nt
Filed under: uncultured bacterium
Lineage: Bacteria
Description: partial 16S ribosomal RNA
Rfam family: Bacterial small subunit ribosomal RNA
Source: RNAcentral
UACGGAGGGUGCAAGCGUUGUUCGGAAUUACUGGGCGUAAAGGGCGUGUAGGCGGUAUGGUAAGUCAGAUGUGAAAGCCCUGGGCUUAACCCAGGAAGUGCAUUUGAAACUGCCAUGCUUGAGUAUGGGAGAGGAGAGUGGAAUUCCCAGUGUAGAGGUGAAAUUCGUAGAUAUUGGGAGGAACACCCGUGGCGAAGGCGACUCUCUGGACCAAUACUGACGCUGAGGCGCGAAAGCGUGGGGAGCAACCAGG